ACCAACCUCUCCUCUUCCCUGUUCGUGAAGCCAAACUCCACCUGAAACAUGCAUCCCUUUCAACCCAGUUUGAGAAAUCUUCAGGAAAGAUUACAGCCUUGAAUCACCUCUGCUUGAUCAGUUCCUCCAACCUCAAGGUCUUAGGUGAUUCUCUGCCAAGUUCUCUUUGGAGCGUUCAUAAGCUGCUCCACCUGGAACCAAUCACCCUUAUCAGGGCUCCACAACUUUCCAGAUCAUGUCACAAACUCUUUAAUAAGCACUGCAGCCUUCACCUGUUAAGACAUCCUUGCAACUCCAUUGUUGAACAUCCCAUGUUCUUCUUUCUCCUUGAUGACUUCUUGUUCCCUCUUGACAAUGAAUCAUCCUCCGAUCUUUAACUGCUGGAGUUUUCUCCCUUUUGAGCCACCAGAGAUCCAAAAACAUGGAUUUCCUGAAUUUUCAUCACAUAACCUCCACCUGGAAUCAGAGUCUACAACUCAAUACAACUGAUU
Molecule: non-coding RNA, 491 nt
Organism: Camelina sativa (false flax)
Lineage: Eukaryota; Viridiplantae; Streptophyta; Magnoliopsida; Brassicales; Brassicaceae
Source: RefSeq, a predicted model, not a curated record